RNAcentral lists this unclassified non-coding RNA (472 nucleotides) under uncultured Archaeospora. RNAcentral's name for it is "SSU rRNA". It matches the Rfam family "Eukaryotic small subunit ribosomal RNA", at positions 569 to 1046 of the family's 1831-position model. The record is from RNAcentral. Lineage: Eukaryota; Fungi; Glomeromycota; Glomeromycetes; Archaeosporales; Archaeosporaceae.
AGCAGCCGCGGUAAUUCCAGCUCCAAUAGCGUAUAUUAAAGUUGUUGCAGUUAAAAAGCUCGUAGUUGAAUUUCGGGGUUAGCAGGUCGGUCGUGCCAUCGGUAUGAACUGGUCUCGCUGAUCCCUCCCUCUUGACGAACUGUGAUGCCAUUAAUUUGGUGUCGCAGGGAAUCAGGACUGUUACUUUGAAAAAUUAGAGUGUUUAAAGCAGGCUCACGCUUGAAUACAUUAGCAUGGAAUAAUGAAAUAGGACGUUUGAUCCUAUUUUGUUGGCUUCUAGGAUUGACGUAAUGAUUAAUAGGGAUAGUUGGGGGCAUUAGUAUUCAAUUGUCAGAGGUGAAAUUCUUGGAUUUAUUGAAGACUAACUACUGCGAAAGCAUUUGCCAAGGAUGUUUUCAUUAAUCAAGAACGAAAGUUAGGGGAUCGAAGACGAUCAGAUACCGUCGUAGUCUUAACCAUAAACUAUGCCGAC